RNAcentral lists this microRNA (21 nucleotides) under Schmidtea mediterranea. RNAcentral's name for it is "Sme-Mir-1992-P5_5p* (star (passenger))". The record is from RNAcentral. Lineage: Eukaryota; Metazoa; Platyhelminthes; Tricladida; Dugesiidae.
UGUCUUGAACAACUGCUUAUG